This 378-nucleotide long non-coding RNA is filed under the name Mytilus galloprovincialis (Mediterranean mussel). Lineage: Eukaryota; Metazoa; Mollusca; Bivalvia; Mytilida; Mytilidae. The record is from RNAcentral.
CAAAAAGAAAUUGAUGCAUGUAAACUCUCUUUGGAUUUACGUCUGUCCAAAGUGGAGCUAGUUAUGGAAAAACUACACGAGCAUCGCCUCGCUCUAACAAAGGCCAAAUCCACUAAAACAAAGACCUCAAAGGGUAAGAAAACCUCACACAGCGGUAGCUCUAACGUGUCAGACAUGUCAAGUCUAGCACGGAGGAAGCGUGCCAAAGCAGAGGCUGCUAAAUCAAAAAUAGCCUUUGUUGAACAACAUUCACUUAUCCUACAACAAGAGGCAAUGAUAGAGGAACAAGCCCUGUUCAGACAAUCUGAAAUGGAACAGGAAGCAGCGCGCAAAAAGGCUGAAAUGGAACAGGAAGCCACACUUAAAAAGGCUGAAAUG